ACAGCAGCAGCCGCGGGAAUACGAAGGGGGCUAGCGUUGUUCGGAAUUACUGGGCGUAAAGCGCGCGCAGGCGGUUCUCCAAGUCAGUGGUGAAAGCCCGGAGCUCAACUCCGGAACUGCCAUUGAAACUGUUGAACUUGAGGACGAGAGAGGUGAGUGGAAUUCCCAGUGUAGAGGUGAAAUUCGUAGAUAUUGGGAAGAACACCGGUGGCGAAGGCGGCUCACUGGCUCGUAUCUGACGCUCAGGCGCGAUAGCGUGGGGAUCAAACAGGAUUAGAUACCCCUGUAGUCCCUGUCUCUUAUAC
RNAcentral lists this ribosomal RNA (305 nucleotides) under uncultured bacterium. RNAcentral's name for it is "partial 16S ribosomal RNA". It matches the Rfam family "Bacterial small subunit ribosomal RNA", at positions 505 to 807 of the family's 1533-position model. The record is from RNAcentral.